This 445-nucleotide ribosomal RNA is filed under the name uncultured bacterium. Its description in RNAcentral is "bacterial SSU rRNA". It matches the Rfam family "Bacterial small subunit ribosomal RNA", at positions 329 to 791 of the family's 1533-position model. The record is from RNAcentral.
UUCCAGACUCCUACGGGAGGCAGCAGUGGGGAAUAUUGCACAAUGGGGGAAACCCUGAUGCAGCGACGCCGCGUGAGUGAAGAAGUAUUUCGGUAUGUAAAGCUCUAUCAGCAGGGAAGAAAAUGACGGUACCUGACUAAGAAGCCCCGGCUAACUACGUGCCAGCAGCCGCGGUAAUACGUAGGGGGCAAGCGUUAUCCGGAUUUACUGGGUGUAAAGGGAGCGUAGACGGCAUGGCAAGUCAGAUGUGAAAGCCCGGGGCUCAACCCCGGGACUGCAUUUGGAACUGUAUAGCUAGAGUGUCGGAGAGGCAGGCGGAAUUCCUAGUGUAGCGGUGAAAUGCGUAGAUAUUAGGAGGAACACCAGUGGCGAAGGCGGCCUGCUGGACGAUGACUGACGUUGAGGCUCGAAAGCGUGGGGAGCAAACAGGAUUAGAUACCCCAGU